UGGCGGCAGGCCUAAUACAUGCAAGUCGAGCGCGCCUUCUGGCGAGCGGCGGACGGGUUAGUAACGCGUGGGAAUGUGCCCUUCACUGCGGAAUAGCCUCUGGAAACGGAGAGUAAUACCGCAUACGCCCUUAGGGGGAAAGAUUUAUCGGUGAAGGAUCAGCCCGCGUCUGAUUAGAUAGUUGGUGGGGUAAUGGCCUACCAAAUCUACGAUCAGUAGCUGGUUUGAGAGGAUGAUCAGCAACACUGGGACUGAGACACGGCCCAGACUCCUACGGGAGGCAGCAGUAGGGAAUCUUGGACAAUGGGCGCAAGCCUGAUCCAGCCAUGCCGCGUGAGUGAAGAAGGCCUUAGGGUCGUAAAGCUCUUUCGCUAGGGAUGAUAAUGACAGUACCUAGUAAAGAAACCCCGGCUAACUCCGUGCCAGCAGCCGCGGUAAUACGGAGGGGGUUAGCGUUGUUCGGAAUUACUGGGCGUAAAGCGCGCGUAGGCGGAUUGGAAAGUUGGGGGUGAAAUCCCAGGGCUCAACCCUGGAACUGCCUUCAAAACUAACAGUCUAGAGUUCGAGAGAGGUGAGUGGAAUUCCGAGUGUAGAGGUGGAAUUCGUAGAUAUUCGGAGGAACACCAGUGGCGAAGGCGGCUCACUGGCUCGAUACUGACGCUGAGGCGCGAAAGUGUGGGGAGCAAACAGGAUUAGAUACCCUGGUAGUCCACACCGUAAACGAUGAAUGCCAGAUGUUGGACAGCAUGCUGUUCAGUGUCACACCUAACGGAUUAAGCAUUCCGCCUGGGGAGUACGGUCGCAAGAUUAAAACUCARAGGAAUUGACGGGGGCCCGCACAAGCGGUGGAGCAUGUGGCUUAAUUUGAAGCAACGCGCAGAACCUUACCAACCCUUGACAUCCUGUGUUAUAUUCAGAGAUGGAUAGUUCCCUUCGGGGACGCAGUGACAGGUGCUGCAUGGCUGUCGUCAGCUCGUGUCGUGAGAUGUUCGGUUAAGUCCGGCAACGAGCGCAACCCACAUCUUUAGUUGCCAGCAGUUCGGCUGGGCACUGCUAAAGAAACUGCCCGUGAUAAGCGGGAGGAAGGUGUGGAUGACGUCAAGUCCUCAUGGCCCUUACGGGUUGGGCUACACACGUGCUACAAUGGUGGUGACAAUGGGUUAAUCCCAAAAAGCCAUCUCAGUUCGGAUUGGGGUCUGCAACUCGACCCCAUGAAGUCGGAAUCGCUAGUAAUCGCGUAACAGCAUGACGCGGUGAAUACGUUCCCGGGCCUUGUACACACCGCCCGUCACACCAUGGGAGUUGGUUUUACCCGACGACGGUGCGCUAACCCUUACGGGAAGCAGCCGGCCACGGUAGGAUCAGCGACU
This 1370-nucleotide ribosomal RNA is filed under the name uncultured organism. RNAcentral's name for it is "bacterial SSU rRNA". It matches the Rfam family "Bacterial small subunit ribosomal RNA". The record is from RNAcentral.